GCGAGUGAGCGGCAACAGCUCAAAUUUGAAAUCUGGCCCUUGGGUCCGAGUUGUAAUUUGUAGAGGAUGCUUUUGGCGAGGUGCCUUCCGAGUUCCCUGGAACGGGACGCCAUAGAGGGUGAGAGCCCCGUCUGGUCGGACACCGAGCCUCUGUAAAGCUCCUUCGACGAGUCGAGUAGUUUGGGAAUGCUGCUCAAAAUGGGAGGUAUAUGUCUUCUAAAGCUAAAUAUUGGCCAGAGACCGAUAGCGCACAAGUAGAGUGAUCGAAAGAUGAAAAGCACUUUGAAAAGAGGGUUAAAAAGUACGUGAAAUUGUUGAAAGGGAAGCGCCUAUGACCAGACUUGGGCCCGGUGAAUCAUCCAGCGUUCUCGCUGGUGCACUUUGCCGGGCACAGGCCAGCAUCAGUUUGGCGCGGGGGAAAAAGGCUUUGGGAAUGUGGCUCCCUCGGGAGUGUUAUAGCCCAUUGUGUAAUACCCUGCGCCGGACUGAGGUACGCGCAUUGCAAGGAUGCUGGCGUAAUGGUCAUCAGCGACCCGUCUUGAAACACGGACCAAGGAGUCGUCUUCGUAUGCGAGUGUUCGGGUGUCAAACCCCUACGCGUAAUGAAAGUGAACGCAGGUGAGAGCUUCGGCGCAUCAUCGACCGAUCCUGAUGUUCUCGGAUGGAUUUGAGUAAGAGCAUACGGGGCCGGACCCGAAAGAAGGUGAACUAUGCCUGUAUAG
RNAcentral lists this ribosomal RNA (722 nucleotides) under Ecteinomyces trichopterophilus. RNAcentral's name for it is "eukaryotic LSU rRNA". It matches the Rfam family "Eukaryotic large subunit ribosomal RNA", at positions 89 to 844 of the family's 3401-position model. The record is from RNAcentral. Lineage: Eukaryota; Fungi; Ascomycota; Laboulbeniomycetes; Laboulbeniales; Laboulbeniaceae.